RNAcentral lists this ribosomal RNA (638 nucleotides) under uncultured bacterium. RNAcentral's name for it is "bacterial SSU rRNA". It matches the Rfam family "Bacterial small subunit ribosomal RNA", at positions 607 to 1244 of the family's 1533-position model. The record is from RNAcentral.
GCUUAACCGAAGAAGUGCAUCGGAAACUGGGUGACUUGAGUGCAGAAGAGGACAGUGGAACUCCAUGUGUAGCGGUGGAAUGCGUAGAUAUAUGGAAGAACACCAGUGGCGAAGGCGGCUGUCUGGUCUGCAACUGACGCUGAGGCUCGAAAGCAUGGGUAGCGAACAGGAUUAGAUACCCUGGUAGUCCAUGCCGUAAACGAUGAGUGCUAGGUGUUGGAGGGUUUCCGCCCUUCAGUGCCGGAGCUAACGCAUUAAGCACUCCGCCUGGGGAGUACGACCGCAAGGUUGAAACUCAAAGGAAUUGACGGGGGCCCGCACAAGCGGAGGAGCAUGUGGUUUAAUUCGAAGCUACGCGAAGAACCUUACCAGGUCUUGACAUCUUGCGCUAACCUAAGAGAUUAGGUGUUCCCUUCGGGGACGCAAUGACAGGUGGUGCAUGGUCGUCGUCAGCUCGUGUCGUGAGAUGUUGGGUUAAGUCCCGCAACGAGCGCAACCCUUGUUACUAGUUGCCAGCAUUCAGUUGGGCACUCUAGUGAGACUGCCGGUGACAAACCGGAGGAAGGUGGGGACGACGUCAGAUCAUCAUGCCCCUUAUGACCUGGGGCUACACACGUGCUACAAUGGUCGGUACAACG